Unclassified non-coding RNA from Cavia porcellus (domestic guinea pig), 285 nucleotides. Its record names the gene 7SK. It matches the Rfam family "7SK RNA". From Rfam's summary of the family: 7SK was discovered as an abundant small nuclear RNA in the mid-70s but a possible function has only recently been suggested. Two independent studies have found that 7SK RNA binds the CDK9/cyclin T complex (known as elongation factor P-TEFb). The record is from Ensembl. NCBI's taxonomy places the organism in Eukaryota, Metazoa, Chordata, Mammalia, Rodentia, Caviidae.
UGAUGUGAGGGCAGCCUGGCUGCAAAAUUUGUUACCCUAUUAACCGCCAGAGUUGAUUUGGAUGACCUGGCUGGUUACAUGGGUGUCUUUCCCUUUUCUAACCCCUCCAUGUGCAUCCUUCCUGACGCUGCAUACUUGGUUGAAAAGGAUGAUCACUGUCAACAGAAGAAGAUAGUUUCCUCAGUGAAGUGUACAAAAGUAGCUACACUGUCCUGCUGAAACCUCCAAGUAGGGAUGAGGAGAAGGAUUAUAGAAACAUGUAGGAGGAGUAAUUAGUCAGUGAAU